GUCUUAUUUUACCAUCAAUCAGAGAUAUAUAUACGCACAGAGAGAUACCAGUAUAAAAACGAACUCGGGUUUCCAAAAAUCAAACCCAGCCGAAGCUGUAAUCGCAACCACUUCUUAUUCAGGUUGUGUAUUGCUGGGAAGUCAUGCCGGACGUGCACGUUCUAGUGAAUGAUUUCGUGGUGAAGCUCAGGAAACGUAAAAUCGAGGGGUCAAAGGCUACGGCCAAGCAAACUGCGGAGCUACUUCGGUCCGUAAUUUCACAGCAGCGAAUGCCCCAUGUAAACCAGGCCGGGGCUCUGAUUGAUGCUAUAAUGAUGGUCGGAGAGCAGCUGAUUGCUGCAAAUCCUGUUGAGCUUGCUGUUGGUAAUAUUGUGAGGCGUGUUUUACAUAUAAUUAGGGAAGAGGAUCUUUCUCUCGCGACAGCUGCUAUUGGCGGGUUGAAUUUAUCUGCUGAAAGUGAUGAAGACGACGACGUUGAUCGUGAUGAUCACCCAGUUUUGUCAGCUGCAGCUGUUGCUGCUGCUGCUAGAAGCACUCUAAGACCACCUUCGUUACAGGCUCUUCUUGAAGAUGUGCCUAACCCAGCCGCUGUUCCUCGCUCGUCUUCUUCUGGGGGUGAUUCUGAAGGGAAAAGCAAAUCUGCUGAUAAAACUUCAAAGAGUUGGAAGCUAAAGCAUAACGUCAUUGAGGCAGUUAAUGAGCUUAUCCAAGAUAUCAGCACUUGCCAUGAGCAGAUUGCUGAGCAAGCAGUGGAGCAUAUUCAUCAAAACGAGGUUAUAUUAACUUUAGGCAACUCAAGAACAGUAAUGGAAUUCCUCUGUGCUGCAAAGGAGAAAAAAAGAUCAUUUCGGGUGUUCGUUGCAGAAGGUGCUCCAAGAUAUCAAGGGCAUGUUCUUGCAAAAGAACUGGUUGCAAGAGGAUUACAAACAACAGUCAUUACUGAUUCUGCCAUUUUUGCUAUGAUUUCCCGAGUGAACAUGGUUAUCGUCGGAGCUCAUGCCGUUAUGGCCAAUGGUGGUGUUAUAGCACCCAUUGGGUUGAAUAUGGUUGCAUUAGCUGCCAAAAGGCAUGCUGUCCCUUUCGUGGUGCUUGCUGGCAUUCACAAGUUGUGCCCCUUAUAUCCUCAUAAUCCAGAGGUCUUAUUGAAUGAGCUGAAAUCUCCAUCUGACCUUCUGGACUUCGGAGAAUUCUCAGAUUGCAUGGAUUUUGGAAGUGGUGCUGGUUCUCAUCUUCUUCAUGUUGUUAAUCCUGCUUUUGACUAUGUGCCUCCAAAGCUUGUUAAUUUGUUUAUUACUGACACAGGAGGGCAUAACCCAUCGUACAUGUAUCGCCUCAUUGCGGAUUAUUACUCAGCUGUUGAUUUGGUAGUGCAAAGGAGACCUGCUUCUUGAAAUCAAGCUUAGCUACCUGUCAUAUAUUUUGAGUAAGUCGUUGAUAUUUGUUAUUUAGUUGGAUGACUUCUAUUAUAUUGCUACAUUAGUUUUUGGAUGUUGUGAAUUGUGGAAUACUUGUGGAGUAUUUUGAAGGAAAAUGAUUUUGGCACUCCAUUUUUUUAUGAUGGCAUUCCAAAAUGUCUUUAGUGUGCCUUGCUAUGUAUAAUUUUUACACUAAAAGACAAGUUUUGGAGUGCCAUCAUAAAAAAGUGGAGUGCCAAAAUCAUUUGCCUAUUUUGAAUUAUGGAGUCGAACAAGUAUCAAGUGGAUCUCUGGUAAUUUUAAAGCUUGAGGGAAGAGGCUUGCACCCAGACCCACUUGCUAAGCCCGCAUUAGUUCACCAUACUGGAGGCAUUGUAUGAUUUCAGGGGCAGUUUCAAGUUGUCUCAGUCAUAUUUGUUUAGAUAAUUUGCUUAAAUCUUUUACGUAGUUGUUUGUUUUUUUAUUGGGGCCAUAAAACCUACUUAUCAAAAAAAAAUUGGACCAUAAAACCUUCAAAGUGUUUGAAGAAAAAGAUAAAAGUACUGCACCUAUGGUGGCACAAGUAAAAAAGAGAGGGCUAUUCUAGGCUACAUAGAGUGAAGGUACCAUAGGUGUAGAAACUGCAGAGGUACAUUGAAAGUAUCAAGACAUGUGCGUCUCUCAUGUAAAAGGACAUAAAAUAACUUGUCUGUGACAUGUGACUGUUAAAGUGGGAAAGAACAAGUUAGAAUAGGGGUGGGAAUCGCCGAGUUGGGCCGGAAUGCUUGGACAUGCCGAAAUGAGCCUGGAAAUUGAGAGAAAGAACUGUCACUCAACUGUACCGCUUUCCUCUCAAAACGGGCUGUAUGGUACGAGAUUAAUAACAUUGUUUUGAAGGCAAACUGGAGGUCAGUACUGGAAGACUUAGAGAAACAAUGAUAUGUAUAGUAGUUUAUGACCAAAAGAAAUGCAGAAACGUCUAACCCAUCCCAAAUCUGCAUCGUGUCCAUAUACUGGCACUCCAGGAAAAAAAAGGGGAUUUCCAUUGUGGUAAUUUCCGAGCUAUUCUGUUGUUGUUACCCAUUUGUCCAUAUUUAUAGGCUGAUGUAUUGUCAUGGAACCCCUCACUGAUUGUCAUAAAUAAUUUCCAGAAUUGUUAUUCUAGGUGAUUAAUUUCAAAAUUUUCGCCUUUAUGCGAUCGAGCUUGAUCUACUUUCUGCGAUGGAGCUUGAUUUACUUUCUGCCUGGCGCAUAAGUUUUCAGAUUUACAUGAGAGUUGCCAAUUCUGCGAUGAAGUCUAAGGUUGUCUUCAUUUUUGUGUCUAAGAAUUGGGGGACUGGAAACUGAAAUGUCUGGUCGAACUGGUAAUGCGUGAAAUCUCGACUGUGGAUGUCGGAUGAGUUAAUGGGAACCAGGGUCUUGAGGAAAAUGAUUUUAUGAGGUAAGCGCAUGGAUAUGGUACGAACCUUCAAAAGAGCUAUAGAGGAGUGCUUUUCAUUUCGUUUUUCUUUCGUUUUUUGGGGGGUAUUUGUGAUGAGAUGUAAGACUUGUAACGAGAAAACAAGAAAAUGACGGCCAAGUGCCGCAAUUCUGAGGAUUAUUUUAUUUUUGAGAAAACACUAUCCGAGGUUAGUAGGCAUUUUUUGUAGCAAGAAUAGGGCAUAUCAGACUUGUUAAGUUGGAUCAUACUCGAAAUACAGUUGUAUUAGCUUGUGAAAUCGAUAGCAUUUACAAGAGUAAUGCUAUUCAGACGACGAAGGACCAGUCCCGUUUUAUA
Rhododendron vialii is the source of this 3171-nucleotide RNA transcript. RefSeq lists it as uncharacterized. The transcript has 11 exons. NCBI's taxonomy places the organism in Eukaryota, Viridiplantae, Streptophyta, Magnoliopsida, Ericales, Ericaceae. The record is from RefSeq and is a predicted model, not a curated record.